This is a non-coding RNA of Mycena metata, 93 nucleotides long. Lineage: Eukaryota; Fungi; Basidiomycota; Agaricomycetes; Agaricales; Mycenaceae. The record is from the annotation of a GenBank genome assembly.
GCCCGCAUAGAUCAAUGCUAGAUCAUCUCUCUGCAAUAUGAUUUCAUCUAGUCUGCUAUCGAGAAGACGGAGGUUCGAAUCCUCCUGCGGGCA